Long non-coding RNA from Solanum lycopersicum (tomato), 2314 nucleotides. RefSeq lists it as uncharacterized. The record is from RefSeq and is a predicted model, not a curated record. Lineage: Eukaryota; Viridiplantae; Streptophyta; Magnoliopsida; Solanales; Solanaceae.
GCCGGAUGUUAAAAUCCGUCAGUAAAUCCAUUGCAUUUUAAUGUCAUAUAUUCUAGGGCACAAAUUUAUUUCCACAUUUUCAAGCUCCCACUCCAAAGAAACCUUUAUCAGGCUCCAUCUCCAUUGAAUUUUUCCAAGUAUCGCUGCAAGCUCCAUUGAAGUUCUCCCUCUCCUUUUCAAGUCUCUACUGUUAGCUUUCUAAGCCUUCAUGUAGGCUCAAUCUCCCAUCUCGAUUUCAAUUUAGUUUAGCUCUCCAUCUCAAUAGGGCUGUGGUAUUUACAAAAUGGGUAGUUUUAACUUUUCUAUCUGCAAAAUAUGAAUCCCAACUCGUUUCUGCAUUUGGAUGUACUUAUAUUCGCUGAAUUUGGAAUCAUGUUAUUAUAACCUCAUCACUAAGGCUUGUUUGAUAUUUGCUUGAAGCUAAAACCUUCUAAAAUAUAACGUGAUUUCUUUUGUAUAGACUAUUGAAAAAGUUUGAGAUUCAACAUCAAGUGAUUUAUAUCGACAUGUUCAUAUGAAAAAUCAUUUGUUGGUGAACGUUCUCGAAAUGUCCAUUGUACUUUAGGUGUUGUUUGAGGCUCUUCACUCGAGCAUGAACUUCUUCUUAUUGCUACAUCGACCACAUUCACUCCAUUGCCUGUCAUGCUUACUUGCAACUAGUACAUCAAAUAACAAGAAGAGAUUAAUGAGCCAGAACUCUGAAGAUAAGUAAUAUAAUUUGCAUUUGUAAUACCUCAAAAUCAUGAAUAGGCACCAAUAAUGACAUAGCAUUCUUGUUAUUUGAGUUUUGAUAGAUUACUUUACAGUUUUUUCAUAUAGAAGAAAUGAAUGAUCGGUAAAUUUUAGUCUUUGUAGUUUUCUGGAUGUGCAUUGUAUUGCAGUAUUCAUAGAAUUGAUUUAUACUAUCUGCUUUGAUUAGACAGUUAUUAGUAUACACCUCUGGUUAUAACCAACUGAAGAAGUUUGAUAGUACUCCUGUCAAUAUGCAUAAGUUAGUAUUGUGGCAUAUAUAUAAACUACUUUAGUUGGUAUGAGUAGAAGAAUGACAUAAACUUUAAUAAGUUGGUAAUCACACGUUUCCUAUAUCCUCCAAGAGAAUAGACAGAUUGUAGCUACUAAUUUUGGGGACAAGUUUCUGAUCUAGAAAAAUAUCGGUUAUCUUUCAGAUUAUUCGAAAAGAGGCCGAGAAUAUCUCAUUAUGCGUAAAGUACUGUAGUCUAGCAGUUGCUAUACUUUGUGUCAGGCUUUUGUUGCGAUUCUUAUGUCAUUUUAGUGUGAAUCUAGUGCAGUUGUUUUCAUGUAAUUCUGAUGUUGGUUGGCUAAUUUUUGAGUGUUUCUGGUGUUGUUUGAUAACAGAAAUCAGUUUGUUUUGAGGUUCAUCUAUUCUAGAAAUGUGCGAGUUCAAGUAUGAUCUUUAUUCUGCAAUACAAAGGAGUUCAAAAUUAUAUGUCUAAGUUAAUUACUACAACUUAUAAAUGACAUUUCAUGGACCAACUAAUAUAAGUUGCACUGUCACCAUUUCAUUGAAUUUUCCUUGCAACAAUUAUCAACUAAUACUAUGCGCUAGAGUAUUAUAUGCACAUGGAAAUCAGAUAGCCUAUUUUGCUAUAGCAACACAGUUCUUUCCUUGGAAGAUAAUAGAGAUGUCUUUUAAGCUUAAAAGCUUGUGUGUUUUUAUGCAUUUUCCUUAAAAAAUUAUUUUGUUCCCUAUCUUUUAAUGCUUUCUCAUUUUCUCUAGUUAUUAUAGGAAAAAUAUGAAGAAAUAUUACGGAAAAACAGUGUAUCAAUCUGAUAUUGAUAUUGAUCAAUGUGAAGCAUAUUAUCAAGUUGCGGGGAGAGAAAAGAAAAGAAGAAUAUACGGUCUUGGAUUUGAAGCAAGAAUUUAUUAGGGGCAAAAUCUUUAUGGUUCAUAAUCAUUACCACCUUCAUUUUCUCAAUCAACAUCGAUAACAAAUAUGGAUGAGUUUGUAAAGCAAAUGAUGUCUGCACUAACUAGUCAUCUUGUUCCUAUUAUUGUUGAGCAGGUGCAAGCAUCGAUUACUCCAUCCGGCAAUCCAUCGAUUGUGACACCCAUAGUGCCUGUUGUUACUAAUGUGGACGAGGUUGAUACCUUAAUUUCAAGUGAAGAUCGUAUCCCUUAGUCUCCCACAACUUUAGUUUUUGAUGAUGUCAUAUUUUUUUGAACGAAUUGCGUAGCAAUAUUUUGAUGAACGUAGGUUCAUUUAAUAGCACUUGAUAUAUUUCUUUGGAUAUAUUUAACAAAAAAAUAUGUGGUUUUGAAGUUUUCUAUUUAUAUAUUAUGAAUUGGCUAUGA